Molecule: transfer RNA, 69 nt
Filed under: Boana rufitela (Canal Zone treefrog)
Lineage: Eukaryota; Metazoa; Chordata; Amphibia; Anura; Hylidae
Description: Hypsiboas rufitelus (Canal Zone treefrog) tRNA-Val
Rfam family: tRNA
About the family: Transfer RNA (tRNA) molecules are approximately 80 nucleotides in length.
Source: RNAcentral
CAAAAUGUAGCUUAAAUAAAGCAUCUCGCUUACACCGAGAAAAUGCCUGAUAACUCCGGGCCAUCUUGA